UUGGGCUGCGUUCACUCUUUGCUAUUAUGUAUAAUGCCAGGAUGGUCAUUUAUGAUUUUUUUUUUUUUUUUGCUUGGACAUUUCAUGUCUUUUGGAUGUCAUUUAGGAGUGAAAUUGCUAGAUCGCUGAGUCUGCAGUUAAUGAUUUGAACAAGUGCCCAAAUGUUCAUAAAGCCAGCAAUACUGUCUUCUACACUCACAUCUCUGUAGUUCUAACACGUCCAACCUGCCUUUGUUAUCUGUUGUUUCUGUAGAGACCAGUUACUACAUCAUAGCAGCGUUGACAGUCAUUGGCUGGACAGCAGAUGAUGGUGGGCAUCCCUUUGUGGCUUACUGAGCAUUUGCGGAGUUUCUGUGGGAGAACUUCUGCCUAUUUUAAAUCUUAUUUGCCAAUCUAUUACUGAGUUCCAGUAGUCAUUAUUUAAACACAAGUCCCUAACACAUAAAGUGAUAUUUGCAUUUUCACUUAUAGGUUAGAGUUUUAUUUCUGGAAUAUCUACUAUAUGUAUCUCAUUAAUCUAUGCACUCGUCUUUAAAUCAGAACCAUAUUGACAUGAUUGUUGUAACCAUGUCUUUAAUUUUGAAAUAAAAGUUGUAUUCUGUUAAGCUUGUUCAGUUAUUU
This 621-nucleotide long non-coding RNA is filed under the name Mus musculus (house mouse). RNAcentral describes it as "long non-coding RNA chr10:119523837-119524458". Lineage: Eukaryota; Metazoa; Chordata; Mammalia; Rodentia; Muridae. The record is from RNAcentral.